UACGAGUUUGAUCAUGGCUCAGGAUGAACGCUAGCGGCAGGCCUAACACAUGCAAGUCGAGGGGUAUAGUUCUUCGGAACUAGAGACCGGCGCACGGGUGCGUAACGCGUAUGCAAUCUACCUUUUACAGGGGAAUAGCCCAGAGAAAUUUGGAUUAAUGCCCCAUAGUGUUAUAGAAUCGCAUGGUUUUAUAACUAAAGUUCCAACGGUAAAAGAUGAGCAUGCGUCCCAUUAGUUAGUUGGUAAGGUAACGGCUUACCAAGACAAUGAUGGGUAGGGGUCCUGAGAGGGAGAUCCCCCACACUGGUACUGAGACACGGACCAGACUCCUACGGGAGGCAGCAGUGAGGAAUAUUGGACAAUGGGCGCAAGCCUGAUCCAGCCAUGCCGCGUGCAGGAAGACGGUCCUAUGGAUUGUAAACUGCUUUUGUACAGGAAGAAACACUCCCUCGUGAGGGAGCUUGACGGUACUGUAAGAAUAAGGAUCGGCUAACUCCGUG
This 500-nucleotide ribosomal RNA is filed under the name uncultured bacterium. RNAcentral's name for it is "bacterial SSU rRNA". It matches the Rfam family "Bacterial small subunit ribosomal RNA", at positions 1 to 507 of the family's 1533-position model. The record is from RNAcentral.